GCCGGAAUGCCAUGGCGGCGUCGGAUCGGGAUCAGGUUCUGGUUCUGGUUCGGGUUCCGGCUCAGGUUCCGGUUCCGGUUCUGGCUC
RNAcentral lists this transfer RNA (87 nucleotides) under Alistipes onderdonkii subsp. vulgaris. RNAcentral's name for it is "tRNA-Gln". Lineage: Bacteria; Pseudomonadati; Bacteroidota; Bacteroidia; Bacteroidales; Rikenellaceae. The record is from RNAcentral.